Molecule: ribosomal RNA, 434 nt
Filed under: uncultured bacterium
Lineage: Bacteria
Description: bacterial SSU rRNA
Rfam family: Bacterial small subunit ribosomal RNA
Source: RNAcentral
UAGUUCUUCGGAACUUGAGACCGGCGCACGGGUGCGUAACGCGUAUGCAAUCUACCUUAUACAGGGGAAUAGCCCCAGAGAAAUUUGGAUUAAUGCCCCAUGGUAUUAUAGAGUGGCAUCACUUUAUAUUAAAGUUCCAACGGUAUAAGAUGAGCAUGCGUCCCAUUAGUUAGUUGGUAAGGUAACGGCUUACCAAGACAAUGAUGGGUAGGGGUCCUGAGAGGGAGAUCCCCCACACUGGUACUGAGACACGGACCAGACUCCUACGGGAGGCAGCAGUGAGGAAUAUUGGUCAAUGGGCGCAAGCCUGAACCAGCCAUGCCGCGUGCAGGAAGAAGCAUCUAUGGUGUGUAAACUGCUUUUAUACAGGAAGAAACAACUCUACGUGUAGAGUCUUGACGGUACUGUAAGAAUAAGGACCGGCUAACUCCGUG